GAUCAAUUUAAACAAGAACUUAACAACAGCUAGUGGAGCUUAACAUGGUAGUUAAAAUUUCAUUCUCUGUAUAAAAAGACAAUUUAAAUUACUAUUCAAUGAAUAUGGUUGGUUUCUCUUAUGCAGGCUUCAUUUUAUCUCACAUAUUACAUUUUUGAGUUUUAAUUUUUUUUUUCUUCAAUUGACAUGACCGGAUUUCAUUCCCUUUCUUUUUCAAUUUUGCUUUGUGGUGAUCUUUCUCUAAGGUUUGUUUCAGUGUGGGAUUGUAGGACAUAAGCCAGAGUGUAGGACAGAAGUCAAAAUGUUAUAAGGGUUUUGUUUUAAGUUUAUAGGGUUUUAUGAGUGUUAUGCUAUUUUUUCUUUGUUUAAUUGACAUUAAUUAAACUAUUGCAUGUUUUCAUUUCUCUAAUUAUAAAAUUAUUUGUUAUACUUUUUCGUCUUGCUUUUCACAUGGUAGGAAUACCUCUCAAAAAAUGUACUUGUGUUACUUCCAAUGCACCUCGCAGUCUUCCCGAAUGCUUUGUGUCCCCAACCCUCACUAGACGGAUUCAUAGAACAAAAAAAGGCCUUGUUCUUUGUAUUGGGUGGUACAUAACCAACGAGAGCAAUUACAUGUUCGUCCAAGCCCUCUUUGCCAACACCUCAACAGGAGAAGAGCCUAGGUAAACACUAUCCUCAUCGCAAGCUUUCCACACAUUACAUGAAUGGUAUGCUUUUACUAUAUCCACAACAGGCCCCUCGUUUAGAUGAUUUUUAGCUGUGAAAACAAAUCAAGUUGUUAGGGUUAACCAUUGUGAUGACAUAGAAAGAAGAUGGUAGUUGAGUACAUAGUUUGUAUCCGACCAUUUAUAGGUUGAAUUAGUAUAUUGUUAUGUGCAACCUAAUGUGUUUCGAAUUCUCAUUUCUACACAAUCUACAAGGAACUGGAAAUCUAGAGGGUAAAAAUUUAAUCAGUGAACGUUAAAAUUGUUAAUAAAUAACAAUUUUUUAGUGCGUUACAAACUUAUUGUCAUUAUUCAUGAAUAUAUAAGAUUUUGUUACGGUAAAUGAAUCUACAAGUUAUGGAAUUGAUAGUGGGCUUCGUAAGCUUAGAACUCCGAUGAUUUAUAGUUUGUAGGUAAACAUUUAUAAGUCAAAUUAGUACUAUAUGGUAUAUUCAACACUAAAACUAUUCAUUUCAAGAAUUUAAAACAAAAAUAAUAAAUCUUAAACACCUCACAUGCUGCCCUAAACACUAACGGAUAAUGUUAAACCCCUAAACACUAAAUUCUAACCAUCAAAUAUUAUAUCAUAAAACCGUAUUCUUAAUCGUACUCCAAACUCUAAUUUUUUACCAUAAAUCAAAAUUAACUAAUCAUAAAGCUGUUAAUUAGACUCUAAACAUCUACCACUAUAUCUUAAAUCCUAAACAUUAAAUAAGAAUCUCAAAAUUUUUAAUUUUAAACAUAAUAUUAAUAUGUAGCAAAAAUAUGAUAUCUAAUUGAUUUUGAAUUUUAAACAAUCUAAUCUGGUACAUAAAUCAUUAUAUUUACUUUUUUUCACCAAAGAGAGGGACACAAAGAUGUCAGGUACCAUCCUAAGUGACACAGUAGCGGUGGAAUCCCAACCACCGCUGGCAGAGGUGGAAUCGACGAUGUGCGGCUGUUGCGGAUUAACAGAGGAAAGAGUUCUCUCAGCUGUGAAGUUAAUUAGCUUUCUGUGAAAUGGUGUAUUUGAUGAUUCCGUCUGCAGAAGAAGAUAGAGCUGAAGAAGGCGAGUGGGAAAAGGAGAGAUAACCCAAAACACCCUUUUUUAAACCCUUCUGCUCUGCUUUCUGUAGUGAAAAAACAGGGGUGUUUUGGUCAUGUGGCCGGCCGGACGGCGGACAUAUUCCGAUCACCGGUAAUUUACACUUUCCCUCCUGCAUCAAUUCCAUGUUGAUUUGAAUUUGUUUUGUUGUUGCUUGUGAAGUAAGAAAAACAAGAUUGUAUCUUUCUCCAAAGAAUUCAAUUUCCAGCUAGAUUUCCUAAUCUUGCUAAGCAUAACGCGGUUUUGCCCAAUCAUUUCCCAUGUUCUAUUGUCCCCCUUCCUUGUAGGGAAAUAAAGUAUGUGAAAUCGUAUCGAAGUAUAGAAUCAAUUCGAUUUUUAUAUCGAAUUUAUAUGAUUCCGAUAAUAAUGUUUGUAUACGAAGAUUUGUAGGUUGAAUUAGUAUAUUGUUAUGUGCAACCUAACAUAUUUCGAUUUAUCAUUUCUAUACAAUUUAGUUGAGUACAUAGAUCGUUUACUACAAAAAAUUGGAAAUCUAACGGGUAGAAAUUUAAUUAUUAGUGGAAGUUAAAACCGUUGCUAAAAUACCAAUUUCUGAUAAUAUGUUAGACAUACUUGAUGCAUUUCAAAUUUUAUACGAUUUAGUUUGAUAAAGAAAACAUUAUAGCGGUUGUACUUUUUUUCCCCUAAAAGGGAGGACACAAAGAUGUCAAUAACCAUCGGGACACAUUAGUGGUGGAAUCCCAACCGGCACCGACAGAGGUGGAAUCGGCAAAGUGCGACUGCUGUGGAUUGACGGAGGAAUGUACGUCGGAGUACAUAGAGAAGGUGAAGGAGAGGUACAAUGGGAGAUGAGUAUGCGGACUAUGCGACGAAGCAGUGAAAACAGAUCAGGAAAGACUUAUAGUAACCAGAGAGGAAGCUUUGACUAGCCACAUUAACUUCUGCAAGAAGUUUGCGGCUUUGCCAUCAGAGACUGAUGAUCCGGCCCUGCACUUGAUCUCCGCGAUGAAGUAAAUCCUUCGAAGAAGGUUGGAUUCGCCUCCUCGAGGUGGGAUGAGGUCAACUCACAAUAGUUCCACGACAAAGUCUGUGGAUAUCGUCGAUUCGAUGUCUUCCACCGCCUAUUCGCUGUAUCCUAGCAAGAUGAUGAAGAAGGAAGAAGAUGAGAUGGAAGAAGUGGAGCAUAAAGAAGACGAGGAGGAAGAGUUCGAUGAAACCAAGCGGUGCGAAUGUUGCGUAAAACUCGAAACAAUGGAGUUGGUUGAACUCAAGCCCGAUGAGGAUGACUAUGGAUGCAAACUCGAAGGUUAUAGUGACUAAACACAAUGAGCCACAGCCAUAACAUGCUGCAUCACAGGCAGAAUAAAGAAGAGAUCUGAUUUAAAAACCUAAUCUUUUAGGGUUGGAAGACAUCAAAUAACCUCAUAUCCACCAAACACCCACACCCUCUUCCUGCCAAUCUAAUCCCCACACAAGGGAAGAAGAGGAAACAGAUUCAACAACAGAAAGACUCCAUAUUUUUCAUCACCUCAGAUUCAGAAAAAAUAAUUAAAAAUUUUAAAAAGAAAAUCAAAACUAACCAUGAAUCAGGCCACAUCAAAUUCAAAACACCUGUACAAUCUCCAUACAUGAUGAUGAUCAGCCUCUUGUAAUGAACCUGUAAGAAGCACACAAGGACAAGAAAAGUCAGCAUCUUUUUUUGUCGAUAUUAGUUCAAUUGAAGGAGAAAACCAAACAGUUUGACAUCGAUCUGAAUCCAUCACCAAACAUAUACACAAAACAACAAUUCAAACAGGAUUCAAAUACCAGCAACCAUGAUUCCUGAAUCCCAAUUAAGGCUGCUGCUGCUGGCUGCUGCUAAAAUGAUUGCAGCAGGGUUGCGAUGCUGAUUCAUGAAACAAGCCAUCUUCUGGAAGAUUUUAAGAUUGAAGUAGUAGAAGAGAACAGACAAAAACGGCCCAGUCAGAAUUUUAUUUUAC
RNAcentral lists this long non-coding RNA (3728 nucleotides) under Linum usitatissimum (flax). Its description in RNAcentral is "long non-coding RNA (LUSI_LNC007254)". Lineage: Eukaryota; Viridiplantae; Streptophyta; Magnoliopsida; Malpighiales; Linaceae. The record is from RNAcentral.